This 121-nucleotide ribosomal RNA is filed under the name Chelonoidis abingdonii (Abingdon island giant tortoise). Lineage: Eukaryota; Metazoa; Chordata; Testudines; Testudinidae. The record is from RNAcentral.
CUCUAUGGCCAUCCCACCCUGGACAUGCCUGAUCACCUCUGAUUUUAAAGGCUAACCAGGGUCAGGCCUGGUGAGUAGUUGGCGGGGAGACCUCUCUUGGGAAUACUAGAGGCUGUAGCUC